AGCGAACGCUGGCGGCAGGCUUAACACAUGCAAGUCGAACGGUCCUUCGGGAUAGUGGCGGACGGGUGAGUAACACGUGGGAACGUACCCUUAGGUUCGGAACAACACAGGGAAACUUGUGCUAAUACCGGAUAAGCCCUCCGGGGGAAGAUUUAUCGCCUUUGGAGCGGCCCGCGUCUGAUUAGCUUGUUGGUGAGGUAAUGGCUCACCAAGGCUACGAUCAGUAGCUGUCUGAGAGGAUGGCCAGCCACACUGGGACUGAGACACGGCCCAGACUCCUACGGGAGGCAGAAGUGGGGAAUCUUGCGCAAUGGGCGAAAGCCUGACGCAGCCAUGCCGCGUGGAUGAUGAAGGUCUUAGGAUUGUAAAAUCCUUUCACCGGGGACGAUAAUGACGGUACCCGGAGAAGAAGCCCCGGCUAACUUCGUGCCAGCAGCCGCGGUAA
This 445-nucleotide ribosomal RNA is filed under the name uncultured bacterium. RNAcentral's name for it is "partial 16S ribosomal RNA". It matches the Rfam family "Bacterial small subunit ribosomal RNA", at positions 29 to 523 of the family's 1533-position model. The record is from RNAcentral.